GACGGAGGGUGCAAGCGUUGCUCGGAAUCACUGGGCGUAAAGGGUCCGCAGGCGGCGAGAUAAGUCGGAUGUGAAAGCCCGGGGCUCAACCCCGGAACUGCAUUCGAAACUGUCUCACUUGAAUACGGGAGAGGAGAGUGGAAUUCCUGGUGUAGAGGUGAAAUUCGUAGAUAUCAGGAGGAACACCAGUGGCGAAAGCGGCUCUCUGGCCCGAUAUUGACGCUCAUGGACGAAAGCGUGGGUAGCAAACAGG
RNAcentral lists this ribosomal RNA (253 nucleotides) under uncultured bacterium. Its description in RNAcentral is "partial 16S ribosomal RNA". It matches the Rfam family "Bacterial small subunit ribosomal RNA", at positions 524 to 776 of the family's 1533-position model. The record is from RNAcentral.